RNAcentral lists this ribosomal RNA (502 nucleotides) under uncultured bacterium. RNAcentral describes it as "bacterial SSU rRNA". It matches the Rfam family "Bacterial small subunit ribosomal RNA", at positions 29 to 524 of the family's 1533-position model. The record is from RNAcentral.
AACGAACGCUGGCGGCGCGCCUAAUACAUGCAAGUCGAGCGAGAAGACGUAGCAAUACGUUUGUAAAGCGGCGAACGGGUGAGGAAUACAUGGGUAACCUACCCUCGAGUGGGGAAUAACUAGCCGAAAGGUUAGCUAAUACCGCGUACGCUCCUUGGACUUCGGUUCAGGGAGGAAAGCGAUACCGUGGGUAUCGCGCUCUUGGAUGGGCUCAUGUCCUAUCAGCUUGUUGGUGAGGUAACGGCUCACCAAGGCUUCGACGGGUAGCUGGUCUGAGAGGACGAUCAGCCACACUGGCACUGCGACACGGGCCAGGCUCCUACGGGAGGCAGCAGUAAGGAAUAUUGCGCAAUGGGCGAAAGCCUGACGCAGCGACGCCGCGUGGGGGAUGAAGGUCUUCGGAUUGUAAACCCCUUUCGGGAGGGAAGAUGGAACGAGCAAUCGUUCGGACGGUACCUCCAGAAGCAGCCACGGCUAACUUCGUGCCAGCAGCCGCCGUAAC